AAAAACAUGUUUUUAUGNGUGUAAUAUAUAAAGUCUGACCUGCCCAAUGAUUGUUUGAAUGGCCGCAGUAUUUUGACUGUGCAAAGGUAGCAUAAUCAAUAGUCUAUUAAUUGUAGUCUGGAAUGAAAGGUUUAACGGGGAUUAGCUUUUUUAUGAUAAGAAUGAAUUUAAAUAGUCAGUAAAAAUGCUGACGUGUAUUAGAGGGACGAGAAGACCCUAUUAAGUUUUACAUAAUAAAAUUAUAAUAGUUUAGUAAGUUUUAAUUUUUUGAUGUUUGGUUGGGGCAAUCUUGAACAUUAAAUGUUUUUUGUGAUUACUAUAUAUAAGUGAUAUUGAUCCAAUAAUAUUGAUUGUUAGAAUAAAUUACUAUAGGGAUAACAGCGUAAUAUAUCUGGAGAGUUCAUAUUGAUGGAUUAUGUUUGCGACCUCGAUGUUGAAUUAGGAUACUCUUAAGGCGCAGGAGCUUUAAUUGAGUGGUCUGUUCGACCAUUAAAUUCCUACGUGAUCUGAG
RNAcentral lists this ribosomal RNA (511 nucleotides) under Scolopendra cretica. RNAcentral's name for it is "partial large subunit ribosomal RNA". It matches the Rfam family "Bacterial large subunit ribosomal RNA", at positions 1809 to 2609 of the family's 2925-position model. Lineage: Eukaryota; Metazoa; Arthropoda; Chilopoda; Scolopendromorpha; Scolopendridae. The record is from RNAcentral.